CACGGAUCUCAUCCACCCGCACCGACAAUGCUACAUCGGGUACAAUAGCUUGUUCUUCUCCUUCAGUGUUACUGUCCAAACAGGUCGCUGACAUAGUAGACAGUUGAGAAGUCAUUAUGCUAAGGCUCAAUAGGACCGGCACAUCACAACAAUAAACGCCGUCGAUGAAGAAAAGCGUCGAUCAGAAGGAUUUAGCCUGAAGACACACAAACGCAGACGAAUAAAGACCGGACCCAACUUCAGAGAGUCGCCGCCCUCUCAUCUUACUGAGCAGGACACAAACACUAAACAAACUCAAAAGAACACCUAAAAAUGAAGCAGUAGCCCUCCCACCAGUAAGGGCCGGGAUACACCAAGUCAGAUUGACGACGACACCGGCAGGAGGAGGGAGAACCCUAGACGAGGGACGCGGAGUUUCUGCACCCGAGCUCAAAUGAGCUCGGUUGAACAGUAAAAUCAAAACUAAAUCAAAAAAAUCCAAAAAAAUCCAAAUUUUUUUUGGGAGAAACAUUGACAAAAGUUUUAAGUGCUUGCAAAAAUUCGUCAUGAAAUCACAUUUCUAGAAGUCGUGGCAAAAAAAAAUCGAUACUCUGAAAAUGCUACUUUCAAAAGCAUUUUGAAGCACUGGAUUUAUUUUUUUUUGCCACGCCUUACAGGAAUGUGAUUUCAUGAUGAAUUUUUGCAAGCACUUAAAAGUUUUGUCAGUGAUUCUCCCAAAAAAAAUUGGAAUUUUGUUUGAAUUUUUUUUUCGAUUUUACUGUUCACCAAGCUCAAAUGAGCUCGGGAGCAGAACGGCACUUUCGCUAGAUGAGUAGCUUGUGUGGGAGAGGAGCUGAAAACGUGAUGUUCUCUGCCCGACAUUUCCGUUAUGCCGAAUUGCUAUGUCGACAGACACCAGUAAUUGGAAAGAAAAGAAAAAAGAAACAUAAUGGCGGCAGCGAGAGCGGAGAGCAUAAAGCGGUUCCUGUUAUUUUCGCGAAUCGAUUCGUGUUAAUUCCAGACGCCAUAGGAAUAGGAUGCAUGGACAGCAGCUUCCCUCCCAGACGAGGCAGCCGCAGUGCGACACUGUGCGUGCCGACCUGGUAGGGCACGUGUCCACCGUCGGUCCACACUCAUGUACGCAUGAACUGAGCCCCCAGCUUCAAAUCAUUCAGAUAAGGCCGGUCACAGUGGGGAGGAACUUAGGAGUAACAUCACACACUCCAAUACAACUUUGCUUAUGUGGCACGUAUUUAAUGAAGAGAGAGGUGCUUGUGGUAACUAGCUAAGUUACCGGAACAUCACACACUUCAAGAAACAAUGAGUCUAUAACCUAAUAAAUACAUCGUUGCAUGACACUACAUAGAUGUUCCUACCCACUAUGGAGGUAGUAACAUAGUCUAGGGAAGUGUGAAGUUACUAGCUUAUGUUCUUGCCCAUUGUGACCAGCCUAAUACACACACGGCGGCCCACAUACGGCUACCAUAGAAUGUAAACCGGGCCUAUAAAUUCGAACCGGCCGGCCAUGGUAGUAACGACGAACCAACAAGAAACCUGUAGCACCGAGCUAGGCGAAGGUCGAUCGAGAGAGAUGCAGGGCGGGGAGAGCGCGGCGGGCGCGGCCAUGGAGGCGGGGGCGAACCUGGGCGCGUCGGCGUGGGCGGGCAAGGAGAAGACCAUGGCCGUGGUGCAGGAGACGGUGGAGAAGGCCAAGGCGCACGACGACCCGGCGGCGCAGGCGUCGGCGGAGGCCAGGAAGGAGGAGCGGGUCCUCGAGGUGGAGGCCGCCAAGCAGGACGCCUACCGCCACAACGCGGCCGUCGCCAAGGACGGACGCGCCGCCGCCGUCGUCAAGGAUGAGAAGGAGGCGUCGGCGGCGGCCGUCUCCGCCUGACGACUCCUUUGGAAACCCCCUUCUCCAGUAUUUUCAUUUGUUCGAUCGACUGUAUGUAUGUAUUGUAUUGCUUGGACUUGAGUGCUGCGUGCAUUUGGAAUUAUUGCUGUGAGAGUUGUUGUUGUUGUUGGAGAUGAGAUGGGAUUGCUUUUUAACGUGCAAUGCGAUGUGAUCCUUUGGUCGAUUCGGUUCCGGUGGACGUGUACUAGCAACUUGCUUACUCCUUCACCUCAGCUGUUCCCACUCUACUUCGUAGAAAUCGGUAAGCUAUUUUUUCUCUAAAAUCUAGUAAAAGAAGAUGUAGAAUAAAUCGGCAGCGUUCCCAAAUUGAUUCGUUAUUAUUGGGUACAUGCCGUUUUAAUGUACGUAUGUCACGAUGGUCCAACG
RNAcentral lists this long non-coding RNA (2260 nucleotides) under Triticum aestivum (bread wheat). RNAcentral's name for it is "long non-coding RNA (TAES_LNC007216)". The record is from RNAcentral. Lineage: Eukaryota; Viridiplantae; Streptophyta; Magnoliopsida; Poales; Poaceae.